ACGUAUUAUAGAAGAUUGUUAAUGAUAGAAAUAACGAUGUGAAUAUAAAGGUAGAGUUCCACAAUUGUAUUCCAGUUGGGUUGUAAAUAAAUAGUAAAAGUCCAUAUUAAAUAUAUGAACUGCAUUUUGGAUGCAUAUGUAUACUAAGUUAAUGGGCCUGAAUCCAUAAUUAUGAAUAGAAUGUGAGAUUUAAAUAAGUUAGGCUUACUACGGGCUUCGGGGGCCUUAAGCCCACCCAGGUCCUAGUGCCGGUCCGGUCCAUGGAAAUGGGUCGUGACAAAGUUGGUAUCAGAGCAUAAGUUGGGCCUUAGGAAUCAAUUGCGGAACAUAGGAAAUUAAAUAUAGGACUCCUAUGUUGGGAUCGGCCGUAACCAACAAAGGAGAUGUAGUCUGGAUUGAAUUCCAUUUUCGUGCCGGUGGAUGCAUCGCGCACGAGGAUGGGAGGAAAUCUAUAUGAAACUUAGGAUGAGAACUAAAGGU
Molecule: long non-coding RNA, 480 nt
Filed under: Jatropha curcas
Lineage: Eukaryota; Viridiplantae; Streptophyta; Magnoliopsida; Malpighiales; Euphorbiaceae
Description: long non-coding RNA (JCUR_LNC001368)
Source: RNAcentral